This 492-nucleotide ribosomal RNA is filed under the name uncultured bacterium. Its description in RNAcentral is "partial 16S ribosomal RNA". It matches the Rfam family "Bacterial small subunit ribosomal RNA", at positions 29 to 507 of the family's 1533-position model. The record is from RNAcentral.
AGUGAACGCUGGCGGUAGGCCUAACACAUGCAAGUCGAACGGCAGCACAGUAAGAGCUUGCUCUUACGGGUGGCGAGUGGCGGACGGGUGAGGAAUACAUCGGAAUCUACUUUUUCGUGGGGGAUAACGUAGGGAAACUUACGCUAAUACCGCAUACGUCCUACGGGUGAAAGCAGGGGAUCUUCGGACCUUGCGCGAUUGAAUGAGCCGAUGUCGGAUUAGCUAGUUGGCGGGGUAAAGGCCCACCAAGGCGACGAUCCGUAGCUGGUCUGAGAGGAUGAUCAGCCACACUGGAACUGAGACACGGUCCAGACUCCUACGGGAGGCAGCAGUGGGGAAUAUUGGGCAAUGGGCGCAAGCCUGAUCCAGCCAUACCGCGUGGGUGAAGAAGGCCUUCGGGUUGUAAAGCCCUUUUGUUGGGAAAGAAAAGCAGCAGGUUAAUACCCCGCUGUUCUGACGGUACCCAAAGAAUAAGCACCGGCUAACUUCGUG